Molecule: long non-coding RNA, 711 nt
Filed under: Physcomitrium patens
Lineage: Eukaryota; Viridiplantae; Streptophyta; Bryopsida; Funariales; Funariaceae
Description: long non-coding RNA (PPAT_LNC011111)
Source: RNAcentral
UUACACUUACAAUAUCAAGGCUUUGUCUUUUCUUGAUCAAGAGUGGAUUACUCUUUUUUCUUGAUAAGACAUAAGUAUGUUAGAAGUUGUGGAUUACCGUUGUCGUAAUGUGUGAAGUCUUGCUUGAGAAUGCUCCGGGCACUUGGCUGUAGAAAGAAGAAUAGAAAUUGCAAUAAAAAAAUUCUAAUUCUAAUAGAAUACUAACAAUGCUCUAAUUAGACUAUAAUAAUGGUAAAUAAACGUAAUCAAAUUCAAAACAACUCAAAGAAAUUUCAAACAAACAAUAAAAUUCUUAAAGAAAUAUUAGAAUGAUCACAAAUUUUACUCAAAUAUAUGUCAAUUCAACCUUAAUUUAAUUCUAGUUAAAACCCUAUUGAGUUUCACUCAACUUUAGACCAAACCUAAUUAAAUCUUAAAUCCUAAUAAUUCCUAAACCCUAAGUCAAAUCCUAAACAAAUCUUAAAUUAAACCCUAUUCCAAAUCCUAAAUCCUAAACCAAAUCCUAAAUCAAACCCUAACCAAAUCCUAAACCCUAAUCCAAACCCUAAUCCAAUCCUAAAUUCUAAUCCAAAUCCUAAACCCUAAACCAAACCUUAAAUCAAAUCCUAACCAAAUCUUAGUCUAAACUCUAAUCCAAACCCUAAAUCAAAUCCUAAUCCAAAUCCUAAAUCAAACCCUAAUCAAACCCUAAACCCUAAAUCCUAAUCCAAA